Molecule: ribosomal RNA, 776 nt
Filed under: uncultured Neocallimastigales
Lineage: Eukaryota; Fungi; Neocallimastigomycota; Neocallimastigomycetes; Neocallimastigales
Description: partial large subunit ribosomal RNA
Rfam family: Eukaryotic large subunit ribosomal RNA
Source: RNAcentral
UACGACUACAUAUCAGGCAUAUCAAUAAGCGGAGGAAAAGAAACUAACAAGGAUUCCCCUAGUAACGGCGAGUGAAGCGGGAAGAGCUCAAAUUUGAAAUCUUAAAGGGUUUCCCUUUACGAAUUGUAGUUUAAAGAAGUGUUUUCUGUUGGAGUUUCGGUAAAAGUUCUUUGGAAUAGGACAUCAUAGAGGGUGAGAAUCCCGUAUUUGACCGUUACUUUCCAGCUGUGUGAUACACUUUCAAAGAGUCGGAUUGUUUGGGAAUGCAGUCCAAGAUGGGUGGUAAAUUUCAUCUAAAGCUAAAUAUUGGCGAGAGACCGAUAGCGAACAAGUACCGUGAGGGAAAGAUGAAAAGAACUUUGAAAAGAGAGUUAAACAGUACGUGAAAUUGCCAAAAGGGAAGCGUUUGACACCAGUGUUGUUUUCUCGAAAAUCAAUUAAAAAUGGCUUGAUUUUGUGUUGUAUUGACCUUAUCAGCUUUCUUCACUCUUUUUCGAGUCUUUCUUAAUGCACUUUUCGGUUAACAAGUCAACAUCAAUUUCUUUUGUUGUAAAAGGGUAUUUGGAAGGUGGCUUUCUUUUCGGAGAAAGUGUUUAUAGCCUUAUACCUCUACAAUCGGAGAGAUUGAGGUCUGCAGCGUAGAUCCUUCGGGGCUAGAUACACUUGUGCUAAGUUAUAGCUUUUCAUAGACAACUUGUUGACUAUGUUUAGUCAUGUAGCUUACCCGCUUGUGCUAUUUUACCUACGCUUAGGAUGUUGAUCUACAGAGCGAGAGU